CGCGGCCUAUCAGCUUGUUGGUGAGGUAACGGCUCACCAAGGCAUCGACGGGUAGCUGGUCUGAGAGGAUGAUCAGCCACACUGGGACUGAGACACGGCCCAGACUCCUACGGGAGGCAGCAGUAGGGAAUAUUACACAAUGGGCGAAAGCCUGAUGCAGCAACGCCGCGUGCGGGAAGAAGGCCCUAGGGUUGUAAACCGCUUUCAGCAGGGAAGAAAAUGACGGUACCUGCAGAAGAAGGUGCGGCCAACUACGUGCCAGCAGCCGCGGUGACACGUAGGCACCAAGCGUUGUCCGGAUUUAUUGGGCGUAAAGAGCUCGUAGGCGGUUCAGUAAGUCGGGUGUGAAAACUCUGGGCUCAACCCAGAGACGCCACUCGAUACUGCUGUGACUCGAGUGCGGUAGGGGAGCGGGGAAUUCCUAGUGUAGCGGUGAAAUGCGCAGAUAUUAGGAGGAACACCAGCGGCGAAGGCGGCACUCUGGGCCGGUACUGACGCUGAGGAGCGAAAGCAUGGGGAGCAAACAGGAUUAGAUACCCUGGUAGUCCAUGCCGUAAACGUUGGGCACUAGGUAUGGGAUCAUAUCAACGGAUUCCGUGCCGUAGCUAACGCAUUAAGUGCCCCGCCUGGGGAGUACGG
Molecule: ribosomal RNA, 639 nt
Filed under: uncultured Actinomycetes bacterium
Lineage: Bacteria; Bacillati; Actinomycetota; Actinomycetes
Description: bacterial SSU rRNA
Rfam family: Bacterial small subunit ribosomal RNA
Source: RNAcentral